UAAAUAGAAGCUAAUUUAGCAAUUAACUGUUAAUUAAUCAUUUACUAUUAUUAUAUAGUCUAUUUAA
This 67-nucleotide transfer RNA is filed under the name Galathealinum brachiosum. RNAcentral describes it as "tRNA-Asn". Lineage: Eukaryota; Metazoa; Annelida; Polychaeta; Sabellida; Siboglinidae. The record is from RNAcentral.